RNAcentral lists this ribosomal RNA (274 nucleotides) under uncultured bacterium. RNAcentral's name for it is "partial 16S ribosomal RNA". It matches the Rfam family "Bacterial small subunit ribosomal RNA", at positions 79 to 353 of the family's 1533-position model. The record is from RNAcentral.
CUAAGUUUGAUGGCGACCGGCGCACGGGUGAGUAACACGUAUCCAACCUGCCGAUAACUCUGGAAUAGCCUUCGAAAGAAAGAUUAAUACCGGAUAGUAUACGAAUAUCGCAUGAUAUUUUUAUUAAAGAAUUUCGGUUAUCGAUGGGGAUGCGUUCCAUUAGGUUGUUGGCGGGGUAACGGCCCACCAAGCCUUCGAUGGAUAGGGGUUCUGAGAGGAAGGUCCCCCACAUUGGAACUGAGACACGGUCCAAACUCCUACGGGAGGCAGCAUG